AGGAAUCAGUAAACCCACUGAAAGUGAAGAUCUAGGUACAACUCUACACAUGUAGGUUUAGCACACAAUAUCCUACCUGUCAAUGUUGCUACCUUAGUAAGAACAAUAUCACAAAAAACUAAGGUUUAGAUAAAUUCAUUACACUGUUAGUAAAUACUGUGUACAUGAUCACUGACUCAUUGUAGCGAUUGGCCAACCUCUUCACUUUAUUUACUUUAACAGAGAGAAUAGUUGGUUGGUCUAAUAUAAAGCUGAAAUGAAUUACUGUGGCAACUCCUUAUGCUGGAGGUCACCCAUCAAAUGGCUAUUAAGACCCCUUUAAAUUUACUCCUGCAUAAAUUUAAGCAGUCUCUGAUAAGGCAAAUCCUUGGAUUUGAUAUACCAUGCAAAAUCAUGAUAAGGCAAUUAACAUAAACUAAUGGCCAAUGGGGCAAAUCUUUUCGAAGUAAAUAAAUCUUUACUUUUCUCUUCGUCACCAACAUUCAACCUUCUAAAGUAUUGUCACUGAAACACAUGAAAUUGGCAAUAUUCUGGUACUUGGAAGGUCUGAAUUCAAUGUUUCAAGAUAUGGUCCACACUCCUGGUUAAUUCUUCUUCAUAUCAUGAUGCAGAUCAAAUGAUGCCCCUCUUGUCCGAAGAUAAUCCAGAGAUGCUCAAACCUUCAGAAGAUGCAAUGCAAAGUUGAAUGCAGGUACAUUCUUUCUUAUCUUAUAUUUUA
This 718-nucleotide unclassified non-coding RNA is filed under the name Hevea brasiliensis (rubber tree). Lineage: Eukaryota; Viridiplantae; Streptophyta; Magnoliopsida; Malpighiales; Euphorbiaceae. The record is from RNAcentral.